GGGGAGGGGCGGGCACGGCCAGCAGGGGCGGGCAGGGGCCCGCAGGGGCGGGCAGGGGCUGCCUUAGGCUCCUCUCCUGCUCAGCUCAGACUCUGCAAAGUUUCCUUCAAGUGCAGCCAGAGCUGUGCAGAUGCCUGUGGAGUAGCAGGAUGAACAGAAGAUCCGACCUGGUGAUCAUCGUCUCGGAGUCUGGUACCGCCAUAGGUUGCAAAGGCAGGCUGGUCCCUGGAGGAUGUUGACGUGUUUGAAAUCAAUGAAGCCUUUGCAGCAGUGUCUGCAGCAAUAGCUACAGAACUUGGAUUAAGCCCCGAGAAGGUGAACAUCGAUGGAGGAGCCAUUGCCUUGGGACAUCCUCUGGGAGCAUCUGGCUGUAGGAUUCUAGUGACCUUGUUACACACCCUGGAGAGAGUGGGUGGGACUCGUGGUGUUGCAGCCCUGUGCACUGGGGGUGGGAUGGGGAUGGCAAUGUGUGUUCAGAGAGGAUGAGCCACCACCCUUACAGUUCUCAUUAAAACACUAAACAGAAUGUGAGACCAGAUGACCAAAGUGACCCAGGUGGUCAGCUUGCUGUACUUUAGUGUGAGACACCCAAGGCUAAGACGUUGAGACAUUGCACUUGACACUGUUAUAAAAAGGGGAAAUCCAGUCAAUCAUCAAGGGCUCCAGAGUGAACGACAGUUUCAUAAUUUCCAUGUUUAUUGUCUUUGCUUUCCGGGUAUAAUUUUCUCUGAUCAUUGAUUUGUUUGUUUGUUUGUUUUUGAGUCAGGGUCUCAUCAUAUAGCCUGAAAAUCGUUUUGUAGAUGAUGUAGGUUUUGAAGUCCCAGAGAUCCACCUUUCUGUGCCGCCUGAGUACUCGAUUUAAACGCAUGUGCCAUUAUGCAGGGUCCCCAAAAUGAUCCAUUCAAGGAAUGGGGAUGUGGCUUCUGGUUUGAACUUGAGGCUCUUCGGUCAACACCCCUGCUUGCUUGUUGUCUUGUGGUUUCCCAUUGAUCAAACCAAGACCAAUCCUGUAAUGGAAAUUGGAUUCAGUGGCCUCUUCUAAGCUGAGGUGGUGGGGUAGGUAUUCUAGCUAUUCUAGUCAGAAGAUUGCCCGUCCCAACCAGUGUGCCUCUGGGUGUUGGAAAGUGAACAGCAAGCGCCUUCAGUGCAUUUAUUUCUCCACUUGACCAGGCAGACGGUAAUUGCUUCAAACGUCUACCUUGACUUCCCCAAAAUGAUGAACUGUGACUGGAAUUGAAAGCCAAAUAAACUCUUUCCUCCCUUGCA
Molecule: non-coding RNA, 1266 nt
Organism: Rattus norvegicus (Norway rat)
Lineage: Eukaryota; Metazoa; Chordata; Mammalia; Rodentia; Muridae
Source: RefSeq, a predicted model, not a curated record